RNAcentral lists this ribosomal RNA (465 nucleotides) under Vreelandella stevensii. Its description in RNAcentral is "partial 16S ribosomal RNA". It matches the Rfam family "Bacterial small subunit ribosomal RNA", at positions 338 to 795 of the family's 1533-position model. The record is from RNAcentral. Lineage: Bacteria; Pseudomonadati; Pseudomonadota; Gammaproteobacteria; Oceanospirillales; Halomonadaceae.
CCUACGGGGGGCAGCAGUGGGGAAUAUUGGACAAUGGGGGGAACCCUGAUCCAGCCAUGCCGCGUGUGUGAAGAAGGCCCUCGGGUUGUAAAGCACUUUCAGUGAGGAAGAACGCCUGGUGGUUAAUACCCAUCAGGAAAGACAUCACUCACAGAAGAAGCACCGGCUAACUCCGUGCCAGCAGCCGCGGUAAUACGGAGGGUGCGAGCGUUAAUCGGAAUUACUGGGCGUAAAGCGCGCGUAGAUGGCUUGAUAAGCCGGUUGUGAAAGCCCCGGGCUCAACCUGGGAACGGCAUCCGGAACUGUCAAGCUAGAGUGCAGGAGAGGAAGGUAGAAUUCCCGGUGUAGCGGUGAAAUGCGUAGAGAUCGGGAGGAAUACCAGUGGCGAAGGCGGCCUUCUGGACUGACACUGACACUGAGGUGCGAAAGCGUGGGUAGCAAACAGGAUUAGAUACCCUGGUAGUC